UAUCGACUGGGAUGGAGGUCUGAACACACAACUGCAGUAGUAGGAGAGGUCCUGUACUGCUGGGGAGGGGCCCGGGAAGGUUUAGUUGGGUCGCAUGAUUCUCCUACAAAGAGACAGACUACUUCUGCUAUUGAUGCGUUUAACUUGUUAUCUGGUGUUUGGUCCUCUCAACCUACUAGAGGUACUCCUCCCUUGGGAAUCAGAGGUGUCUCCUGUACCACCAUUAAUAAUAAUAUUGGUGGCUAUUGUGGCCAUGACUUCUGCUACCAUAACAGUUUGAACUGUUUAGACACUUUAACUCUUCAAUGGAAAGAAUUACAACCAACUAGUGACAAUUCUGUGACUAAGAGAGGCUAUGGUGGCAUGAUAGUAAUCGGAAGUGAAAGUGAACCUCAACAGUUACUGGCACGGUUAUUGGUGGACAAGCUCCUAUAUCAACUAUUACACAUCAUUAUCAGUUUGAAUACGAAAAGAUAACUGGUUGGGAUUAUUGUGUUAGAACUAAUGAACAGAACAUCUACAGCCUGUUCUCUGGACAAUGGACUGUUCCAUCUGUCAGUGGACAGUGUUGUCCUCCAACUAGUGGCUUUACUGUUGAAAAGAUCAAUCAUAAUAAAGGAAUUAUGUAUGGAGGAGCAGUUCAUGAUGGUAUAGCUACUAACAGUAUCUACUUGUUUCAAUUAUCACAUAAUACAAUAAACUGGGAGUAUCUUAAAGAAGGAGCAAUACCUAAUGAUGGACUGUGGCCUAAGGAGAGAUGUGCUCAUGCCAGUACUAUUAUCAAUGGUGUCUCUACCUCACCUACACUAGUAGUGAUUGGUGGAUAUGCUAGAGGUCAACCAGUGAAUGAUUGUUUGUUAUUAGAGACAAACCUGUUCACUUGG
Long non-coding RNA from Amphimedon queenslandica, 884 nucleotides. RefSeq lists it as uncharacterized. The transcript has 3 exons. The record is from RefSeq and is a predicted model, not a curated record. NCBI's taxonomy places the organism in Eukaryota, Metazoa, Porifera, Demospongiae, Haplosclerida, Niphatidae.